This 465-nucleotide ribosomal RNA is filed under the name uncultured bacterium. Its description in RNAcentral is "partial 16S ribosomal RNA". It matches the Rfam family "Bacterial small subunit ribosomal RNA", at positions 28 to 507 of the family's 1533-position model. The record is from RNAcentral.
GACGAACGCUGGCGGCGUGCUUAACACAUGCAAGUCGAACGGAAAGGCCCUGCUUGCAGGGUACUCGAGUGGCGAACGGGUGAGUAACACGUGGGUGAUCUGCCCUGCACUUCGGGAUAAGCCUGGGAAACUGGGUCUAAUACCGGAUAGGAGCCAUUUUUAGUGUGAUGGUUGGAAAGUUUUUUCGGUGUAGGAUUAGCUCGCGGCCUAUCAGCUUGUUGGUGGGGUAAUGGCCUACCAAGCCGGCGACGGGUAGCCGGCCUGAGAGGGUGGACGGCCACAUUGGGACUAAGAUACGGCCCAGACUCCUACGGGAGGCAGCAGUGGGGAAUAUUGCACAAUGGGCGCAAGCCUGAUGCAGCGACGCCGCGUGGGGGAUGACGGGCUUCGGGUUGUAAACUCCUUUCGCUAGGGACGAAGCUUUUUGUGACGGUACCUAGAUAAGAAGCACCGGCUAACUACGUG